CGCUAGGGUCUUCGCGACGGUGCCUCGGUCACGAGGUGAAAAGGGAACGCGGAAACCGGGAUCGUUCCGGCCUGCCGCGGCUGCCCCCGCAACUGUGAGCGGACGAUUACGGCCCGCCAUCGGCCACUGGAGCGAUCCGGGAAGGCGGUGGGCCGGUGUUGAGAGCCCGCGAGCCAGGAGACCUGCCGUCAUCCUUUCCUCUCG
RNAcentral lists this non-coding RNA (204 nucleotides) under Methylobacterium platani. The record is from RNAcentral. Lineage: Bacteria; Pseudomonadati; Pseudomonadota; Alphaproteobacteria; Hyphomicrobiales; Methylobacteriaceae.